This is a long non-coding RNA of Girardinichthys multiradiatus, 474 nucleotides long. RefSeq lists it as uncharacterized. NCBI's taxonomy places the organism in Eukaryota, Metazoa, Chordata, Actinopteri, Cyprinodontiformes, Goodeidae. The transcript is spliced from 2 exons. The record is from RefSeq and is a predicted model, not a curated record.
UUCAGCCCUCAGACAGGCAGAAAGUGCCAGAUUUUCGAAAACCUACCAGUUAGUAGAUGUCCAGCAUUCCUUCCUGCCUGACCAUGUUUUUGCAUCUUGGAUUUCCCUGCCUUGCCUGACCCUCAUGGAUGUCUCUCCCCUCUGGAUCACGACCUUGUUUCUGCCUCUCGACCAAAGCCUCCUGCCUCACCCCUGGAUUUGUCUGCCUUAGUCUGCCUCCCUGGUUUCACCCAGUAACUGCCCCCCCCUUGACUACCGAGCCUUGGAUCUUUCCCCCUGUCCGCAAUCCGACUUCUGGCUGCGGCGUGUUCUGCACCGAUCCUCCCGGUCUGGAGACUGCCAGGACCGCACCCCGCAAAGGAGCCUAUUCUGAUUCCUCCGUCCUACACGGACUCUGUUAAGUGAUCCCGGGUUCCCGGCUGGUGGAGUCCUGAGUAUUUGUGCGCUGCUCCUGAAUAAAUCGUUUAACUUUUA